GCCAGUUGGGUAUGCUUGGCAGAGGCUUGAGGGGCUCUUGAGUUUGGGAGUUUUGAACUACAGUGGGCUAGGCUAAUUUGGCUUCCACACCAAAUCUGGUAUUAAUAUGGUUAAGACCUCAGGAACAGGGAGCCACUGGGUUGCUAAGGAGGGGAGAACUGGCCCAGGUCAGAAAUGGAGCAAGUCAUGGCUCCUGUGCUGAUCGGUGAUAGGACUGCACCCAUAAGUAGCCUCUGUAUUUCCAUACUGGGUGAGAUAGGGAGACUCACUCUUC
This 274-nucleotide signal recognition particle RNA is filed under the name Phascolarctos cinereus (koala). Its description in RNAcentral is "Metazoan signal recognition particle RNA (ENSPCIG00000022277.2)". It matches the Rfam family "Metazoan signal recognition particle RNA". From Rfam's summary of the family: The signal recognition particle (SRP) is a universally conserved ribonucleoprotein. It is involved in the co-translational targeting of proteins to membranes. Lineage: Eukaryota; Metazoa; Chordata; Mammalia; Diprotodontia; Phascolarctidae. The record is from RNAcentral.